AACGAACGCUGGCGGCAUGCCUAACACAUGCAAGUCGAACGAGACCUUCGGGUCUAGUGGCGCACGGGUGCGUAACGCGUGGGAAUCUGCCCUUGGGUUCGGAAUAACAUGAGAAAUUACUGCUAAUACCGGAUGAUGACGAAAGUCCAAAGAUUUAUCGCUCAAGGAUGAGCCCGCGUAGGAUUAGCUAGUUGGUAAGG
This 200-nucleotide ribosomal RNA is filed under the name uncultured bacterium. RNAcentral's name for it is "partial 16S ribosomal RNA". It matches the Rfam family "Bacterial small subunit ribosomal RNA", at positions 29 to 257 of the family's 1533-position model. The record is from RNAcentral.